UGGCGGACGGGUGAGUAACGCGUGGGUAACCUGCCUCACACAGGGGGAUAACAGUUGGAAACGACCGCUAAUACCGCAUAAGCCGGAAGGAUCGCAUGAUUCGGCCGGAAAAGAUUUAUCGGUGUGAGAUGGACCCGCGUCUGAUUAGCCAGUUGGCAGGGUAACGGCCUACCAAAGCGACGAUCAGUAGCCGGCCUGAGAGGGUGAACGGCCACAUUGGGACUGAGACACGGCCCAAACUCCUACGGAAGGCAGCAG
RNAcentral lists this ribosomal RNA (258 nucleotides) under uncultured bacterium. RNAcentral's name for it is "partial 16S ribosomal RNA". It matches the Rfam family "Bacterial small subunit ribosomal RNA", at positions 96 to 354 of the family's 1533-position model. The record is from RNAcentral.